This 253-nucleotide ribosomal RNA is filed under the name uncultured bacterium. RNAcentral describes it as "partial 16S ribosomal RNA". It matches the Rfam family "Bacterial small subunit ribosomal RNA", at positions 524 to 776 of the family's 1533-position model. The record is from RNAcentral.
UACAGAGGGUGCAAGCGUUGUUCGGAAUUACUGGGCGUAAAGGGCUCGUAGGCGGCCAACUAAGUCGGAUGUGAAAUCCCCAGGCUUAACCUGGGAACUGCAUCCGAUACUGGAUGGCUUGAAUCCGGGAGAGGGAUGCAGAAUUCCAGGUGUAGCGGUGAAAUGCGUAGAUAUCUGGAGGAAUACCGGUGGCGAAGGCGGCAUCCUGGACCGGCAUUGACGCUGAUGAGCGAAAGCUAGGGGAGCAAACGGG